UUAAGAUCAGAAAUAAUUUCUGAAUGAAUAAUGCAAUCGAGCAGAAAAACUUGGGAGUUCAUAGAAUUGAUUUUGAAAUUGUGUUGAAAUUCGGGAAACCAUAAUUAUUUUCCUCUUUUAUCUUGGGCUUUGACUGUGUUAACAUAUUUUCGUUUCAAAUAUUAAUAUUUUAUUAGAAGUGAAGUUUUAAUCGUAAAUUAAAAUGCUAAUAAAAUUUAUUUGAACGAAAUAUGUAUUUCUCUUAAUACGCUGUCUUAAAAAAGUUCCGUUAUUAUUGCUGACAUUUCAAGCUGCCAGUUGCAAGUUCAAUUCAAAUUUAGUGGCAAUUUCCCCAGCAUUUUGCAAAAAAAUCGCUGGGGCAGCGAUCAGGAAGCUUCCGAAAAACCGAAAAGUCUUGAGAAUGCUUUUAUCGGCAGAGAAAUUAAUUAAAAAUAAUAUACAUGAGCAAUAUAAGCCAAGAAACUUUGUGCAGGACGCUCAGAGCUGCUGGUUAUAAAAAAUCAAAUCGACGUACCUAUACAUAUAUGCCGCUUCUAAGUGAAAAAUCUUUCGUAAAUUCAUGAUACCGAGCUUAAGUCCAUGCUUAACAUGUUUGGUCCUGAUUAUACGGACUAUAACUUACGAAUAAUGGAUAAACACAUUAUGUUUGGUUAAGCACGCUGAUAGCAAAAUAAUACAGAGGCGCUGUGUAUGGAUAAGUGAUAAGUUUUGUACACAUUUAAACUAUCGUUUAAAAAAUCUACCACCGGCAAAA
Molecule: long non-coding RNA, 754 nt
Organism: Ceratitis capitata (Mediterranean fruit fly)
Lineage: Eukaryota; Metazoa; Arthropoda; Insecta; Diptera; Tephritidae
Exons: 2
Source: RefSeq, a predicted model, not a curated record